ACCGGGAAGCGGUCUCCGGAGAGCCGCCCAGGAGAGGCUAGACUUGGGGUGCGACAGUUCCUGCCUGGGAAAGCGAAGGAUGGCGGGGCCGAGACCCAGUCCCUUGUCUUAAAGGGGGCGGGGAGGAUUGAGAAUUGGCUAUAGGGCGCGCGCGCAGGACCGGAGCGGAGUGAGCCGGCGAUACGCCUGGAGAUGAAAAGGAGGAGCCGGAGCGGCGUGGGUACAAACUAUCAGUGAACAAGACAUUACAAAACAAGUGGGUGAUUGUUUAUGCUAAUGAACAGAUUUUCUUACUGUCGGCGUAUUCUUGGACCAAAAGACAGGGAUAUGGAAAGAGAGGAGAGUGCUCAUUCUGUCUGCUCUCACGACUGCUGCAACACAGCCCACCAAGCCACAUGGCAUCAUACAUCAGGCACUAUUCAUGUUUAUUCCUGAUACAGCUUUUGACCUUUCCCAAGAGUCCUGUUAAAGUUUGCGUCAGGUUAGAUGCUUUCAGGUUGCUCCACUUCUGUAUAUCCAUCCACUCCUUCCACUAGCCUGAUGGAAGUCUCAGCCUUCUUUUUUUUCCCAAACUGAGUCUCCCUGUGUUCUUUUCCUCCAUGGCCAGGUCAAUUUGCACACAGGCUUUGGAAACAUAAAACUGUGUGUCAUUCACCUGACAAUGUUCUUAUGAAGCAAAUAGACAUAAACGUUUUAAAUGCUUUAAAUGUAACAGUUUAUUCAAAGUUAAUGGGACAUACUGGCAGUCAUUUUACUCAUUCAGCAAAUAUUCAUGGAGCACCUACUGUGUGCCAGUACCUAUGCUCCGUGGUAGUUAUACAAGAGUGAUAAGAAAUUGUUUCUGCCCUCAAGGAGUCUGAUCUAAAUAUCCUUUAGAAAAUGCCAGCUUAUUUUCGUAAGUCAUGUAAAAUUGGAUAGGCAUUAAAGAAAAAAAUUGAUAUUAAAUAUUUUAUGAAUUAUACAGUCCAGUUCCAUCUUGCUUGAAGAUUGAGUUCUAAAAUCAGAAUUAAUUUGAAAAUUGAAUAAAGUGAAAAAAAAAUUACCCUUUGAGCAUUUGAAUCUCUUCAAGAACUGUCAUGAGCUCACACUCCCAAAGGUCCGAUGCUGCUGAAACAAAGGAGAACAAUUCCCCUCUCCUGCUAUCCCCAGGAGCUACACAAAGCGAGAGGCAGCAAAAUCUCCUCCACCACUAAAAUUGUUAUUUUCCUCUUUUUUUUCUGAACAAAAUAUUAAAGUCUAAAUUAAAUUUGGCUAUAUUUCAACAUCACAAUAAGGAUUAAACUCCUGAAUAUGAAGUGUACAGUAUGGGGGAAUACCUUCAAUAACUAUGUAAUAUCUUUGUAUGGUGACAUAUGGUAACUAGACUCAUCAUGGUGAUCAGUUUGAAGUGUAUAGAAAUGUAGAAUCACUAUGUUGUGUAACAGAAACUAACAUAGUUUUGUAAGUCAAUUAUAUUUCAAAAACGAACACAUUCAUAGAAAUAGAGAUCAGAGUCGUGGCUACCAGAGGUGGGAGUGAGGUGUAGGGGGACUGGAUGAAGGCAAACUUCCAGUUAUGGGAUAAAUAAGUACCAGGGAUGUAAAGUACAACAUGAUAAAUAUAACUAACACUGAUGUAUGUUAUAUAUAAAAGUUGUUAAGAGAGUAAUUUCUGAGCAUUCUCAACACAACCACCACCAAUUUUUUUUUCUAUUUCUUUAAUUUUGUGCCAUAUGAGAUGACGGCUGUUCACUAAAGUUACUGUGAUAAUCACUUCACGAUGAAGGUAAAUCAAAUCAUUAUGCUGUACACCUGAAAUGUGUACUGUACGCCAAUUAUAUCUCAAUAAAACUGGAAGAAAAAACGAUUAAGCUCCUGAAAUUUUUGGAUGGACACUUUCCUCUGAUAGGGAUGUAUUGUUGUGUAUAUUAUUAAGAAAGCAUCUGGUGGGGAAUGAGAGUUUAGAAAACUGGUGCUCUGAUGGGAAAAAAAAGAAAUGAAACCGUAUACUGUCACCCAUGAACAAUAAGUAUAUAAUGACACAUGUCCUUCAAAGAAUACAUAUUAAAAAAUUCCAAAAUUUUAUAUUUAUAAGAUAAUUAUUAUAAAGAGACUCUCAAGGAUAAAAAAAGGCAGUUUUGAGUGGUUUGUGUGAUAAAUGAUGUGAAAUAUUUUCACAUUAAAAAUAUAUUAAAAUAUUAGCUCAAUAAAGUUCAUCCUCUGUGUGCAUAGUAUUUUCUUUUUUUUUUUCUGUUCCAUUAAUUUUUAAAAAUUUUUACUGGAGUAUAGUUGAUUUACAAUGUUGUGUUAGG
Molecule: non-coding RNA, 2290 nt
Organism: Delphinapterus leucas (beluga whale)
Lineage: Eukaryota; Metazoa; Chordata; Mammalia; Artiodactyla; Monodontidae
Source: RefSeq, a predicted model, not a curated record